AGAGCGAACGCUGGCGGCAGGCCUAACACAUGCAAGUCGAGCGCCCGUAGCAAUACGGGAGCGGCAGACGGGAUAGUAACACGUGGGAACGCGCCCUUCGGUUCGGAAUAACUCAGGGAAACUUGAGCUAAUACCGAAUACGCCCUUACGGGGAAAGAUUUAUUGCCGAAGGAACGGCCCGCGUCCGAUUAGCUAGUUGGUGAGGUAAUGGCUCACCAAGGCUACGAUCGGUAGCUGGUCUGAGAGGAUGACCAGCAUCACUGGGACUGAAACACGGCCCAGACUCCUACGGGAGGCAGCAGUGGGGAAUAUUGGACAAUGGGCGCAAGCCUGAUCCAGCCAUGCCGCGUGGAUGAUGAAGGCCUUAGGGUUGUAAAGUCCGUUUUAACGGGGAAGAUAAUGACGGUACCCGUAGAAUAACGCCCCGGCUAACUUCGCGCCAGCAGCCGC
Molecule: ribosomal RNA, 450 nt
Filed under: uncultured bacterium
Lineage: Bacteria
Description: SSU rRNA
Rfam family: Bacterial small subunit ribosomal RNA
Source: RNAcentral